UACAGAGGUCUCAAGCGUUGUUCGGAUUCAUUGGGCGUAAAGGGCGCGUAGGCGGUGCGGUAAGUCACCUGUGAAAUCUCCUGGCUCAACUGGGAGCUUGCAGGCGAAACUGCCGUGCUGGAGUGUGGGAGAGGUGCGUGGAAUUCCCGGUGUAGCGGUGAAAUGCGCAGAUAUCAGGAAGAACACCCGUGGCGAAGGCGGCUCUCUGGGACGGUACUGACGCUGAGACGCGAAAGCGUGGGGAGCGAACAGG
RNAcentral lists this ribosomal RNA (253 nucleotides) under uncultured bacterium. RNAcentral describes it as "partial 16S ribosomal RNA". It matches the Rfam family "Bacterial small subunit ribosomal RNA", at positions 524 to 776 of the family's 1533-position model. The record is from RNAcentral.